AUACGGAGGGUGCGAGCGUUAAUCGGAAUUACUGGGCGUAAAGCGUGCGUAGGCGGUUUGCUAAGUCAGAUGUGAAAGCCCCGGGCUUAACCUGGGAACUGCAUUUGAUACUGGCAGACUAGAGUAUGAUAGAGGGGGGUAGAAUUCCUGGUGUAGCGGUGAAAUGCGUAGAUAUCAGGAGGAAUACCAGUGGCGAAGGCGGCCCCUGGAUCAAUACUGACGCUGAGGUACGAAAGCGUGGGGAGCGAACAGGAUUAGAAACCCUAGUAGUCC
This 273-nucleotide ribosomal RNA is filed under the name uncultured bacterium. Its description in RNAcentral is "partial 16S ribosomal RNA". It matches the Rfam family "Bacterial small subunit ribosomal RNA", at positions 523 to 796 of the family's 1533-position model. The record is from RNAcentral.